UCGUCUUCUACUUCUCUCUUUUCUUUGGUUGUCUUUAUGUGUCCACUCAACCCACCGCCAUCUAUUGGUCGAGACUGUAAAUGACAUCAUAGAGUAUUUACCAUAUUAUAGUAAUGUCAUCAAAGUCCAUAAGAGUGUAAAGACUCUGUGAUGUACAGUCUAUAAUGUAGACUGGUCUGAUAUGGUCUCAAUGAUUGGAAACGCACACAGAAGGUUUACAAAUGCAUUCCAAUGCGGCGCUCCACUUCAAAUACCUCCGGAGCUGGACGGACUGGUGGCUGGUGGUGCAGCGGUUGGUGUACAGGGAGAAGAGCAGAGGGGACAGAACGCUGGUGUUGAAGGCAGAGCUGAAGUCCACAAACAGGAUCCUGCCGUAGGUUCCUGGGGAGUCCAGAUGUAGUGGAGGGCCAUGUUGACCGCAUAGUCUACAGACUACCUAAACCGUAGUACUGUAUGAGUAAUAGUACUGUGAUAAACAGCAGUGUUGUGUGAGUACUAGUAUUCUGAUAAACAGUAAUAGUGAGUAAGUACUAGUACUCGUUAUCAGUGGUGGCCCAGCCAGUGUUAAUUUCGGCGACGAACACUAUGACGAAACUUUUUCGUUAACAAACCUUUUUUUCAUGACUAAGACGAGACUAAAACGUGACGAAAACAAUCUUAAAAAAUAAAAACUAUGACUAAAUCUAUUCUAACUUUCGUUAACGAGACGAACAUGUUCCAUGUCGAAGUGUCCCUGAACAGGACACCUGACCCCUAAUGGUUUAAAGUGUAACGUAGGUCGCUUUGGAUAGAAGCGUCUGCUAAAUGACCUGUAAUGUAAUGUGGGUGACGAAGUCACGAUACUUUUCCCCCUAAAUCCGCACGCAGCCAACUGACAACAAACAGACAAAGUACGGCGGAUAUUAACGCGUCAUGAUGACGUCAUCCACCAACCCUCAUCACAGCGGUGGUUCUUGUGCACCGACUACGGACCGCGGCGACUAUUUUAGCUUCGUUGAGUUUGAACGUGGCUUCGUUAGCUUAGCUCAGCUGCCUGUUAGCUGCCUGUUAGCAGGCUGAAGCCGCGCUGCUUCACAGAAACAUGAAGACGCGUUUAAAGACCGUCGGACCUUUCUGCUCUGUUCUCUGGCGACGGCAGGCAGCGUUUCCUCGCUGGAUGAGACGCUCCGUCACAAACGCGUCUAACGUAAUAAACUCAUUGCAGGUUCUGAAGCCAAGAAACUAAUGUAUUGCAACGAUUGUAGGACGUUAAGGUCUCUUUUGUUGGGUCAGUGGAAACAAUAAAGGAGCAUGACGUGUCAAAAGCAUUGCAAGUAAACAGACAAAGACAACAAAGUGUUGCGUUUAGGUCCCUGGUCCUCAUGAAGUUGUUACACCUUUGACAAUUUGUUAAAUUGACUUGCAAAUAAAUGCUUUGCUAUUUGUUCAAAUCCAAAUCCUUUCAUGUGAUGAUGUUUCACACGUCAUUUAUAUCAGCUCACAAACACUUCAACCAUUUGUUCUUCCUCCGUCACAUUUUACAACCCACUGUGGCCGCGAGUCAAAACGUUUGCCGACCCUAUAGACCUGUCCUAGGAGGGACAUCUAUAAACCUGUCCUAGGAGG
Gasterosteus aculeatus aculeatus (three-spined stickleback) is the source of this 1605-nucleotide long non-coding RNA. The record is from Ensembl. NCBI's taxonomy places the organism in Eukaryota, Metazoa, Chordata, Actinopteri, Perciformes, Gasterosteidae.